UAUUUGGAUGUGAUUUAUGCCUGUGUGCAUGUUUGUUACUAAUUAUUGUGUUGUUUUAGAAAUAUUUAUAAUUUUUUUAAAAAAAUAGAUUUUUGGGAAAAUGAAUUCUUGAAAAUAUGAAAGUGAUUUUAAAAAUUCUUUUAAUUAUUUGAUAAUGAUAAUAAAUAUUUUUACGAGAUUUAUAAAAAUAUCUCGGUGAUGUUUUGAAAAUAUUUUGUGGCAAGUUAUACCGUAAAUUGUUAAAAAGCGGGUUACAAUUUCAAGCACCGCCUAUGUAUAUACACAAACAACAGUUCCUCUCUGUAUAGUCUCCCUCCCUCUCCUAAGUCUCUCUCAUCUCUUUCAAUUUCUACCGACUCUGUCUCUCACUCCAACAACAGUAUUGCUCCGCUUUCCCCCGAUAGUCGCCGCCGUCCGGUUUUACGAGCCACUGUUGAAUCAUCCCGCAGCAACGCCUUCGAUUUCAAUUGGUAUACGUAUACCUCAGUUCUGCUUUGUAAAUCAGUUGUUUAACCGUUUAUUUUUGUUUCAAUUUGAAUUAUUCAAUCGAUUGCUAUGUGUGUGUGAGCAGUUGAUUUGUGUGGGUAUAAACCGAGUUUAUGUGUAUGUAUUAACAGGUUGUAUAGUUGUGUUUAUAAAAACAAAUCAGUUGUGUGAUGUAUUUAUAUAUAUGUAUGUGUGUGUGUAUUUACAUACAUGGUAAUCGAAAUUACAUUUGGGAGAAUUGUGUUUAUAUGUAUGUAUAAUUGAUGUGUGUGUAUAAUCUGAUUUAUGUGACAUCUGUGUUGCUAUGUGUUAGUUGAGGCUAGUAGUAAAGUGGUUGAUUAAGGGUAUUUUAAGAGUUAAGUAGUGGUUUAAAGAUUUAGAACUAUUCAUACUUGAGUUGAAAGUUUUGGCCGUUGCUGGUCUGUCUUGCAGCAAAAAUCUGGGUCAAUUGAGUUGAGUUAUGUGCUUAAUAUUCCUGUGAUAAUGUGCUACUUGGAGUCUAGAUCAAGUACGAAAAAGAAUUUCAAAGCUUCGUUAAACGAGCUAAAAGAUAUGUAUGUUUUAGUACAAGGCGCGCUGAAAAUUCUGGGCAGUCUUGUCCUGUUCCAUGCCCUGUUUUGCUAUCUUAAACUCAAGCUUUGCUUUUGAAAUUUUUACUAUAGUUAGAUGUUAGUGUCUGGAUUAUGUCAUUAAAAUUUUAUACAAAUAGACCAGUUUUUCUAUUUAUUAAAAUUCUUAGCGUGGGGCUGGUUCUGCAGGACAGAUUCAGGUCCUGACUUGCAGGCCUUGUUUUACUCCCUUAAACAUUGAAUUUGCUUCUGAAAUUUUUGUAGUAGAUUUGAAUAAUGUUUAGGAAUGUCUCAUAAAAUUUUUAUAUUAAAAUGAUAAAUUUUCAUUUUAUUAAAAACACAGAGUGAGGACUAUUUGAACUAUUGUCUAGUUUUCUUUCUUUGUUAGUGCAUAUUCGGAGUUUAUGUUUGAUUGAUUACAUAUAAUUGAUAAAUGGAUUCUUGUAGUGAUGGUAGCUUGUUAUUUGUUUAGCUUGAUUUCAUGUUCGAAUAUAGAGGGCUUCAUGAGUUUUACUUGAUAUAUAUGGAAAGUUAUUUAAAAGUAAAAUUGAAAGAUGUAGUGAUUAAAGAUGAGUUUGACUUUUAAUAGUUAUCAUUAACUAUAUAAGUAAGAAUGAAUUGAGAUUAUACUUGCAUAACUUGAAUUAUAUGUUGAUGCAUAUAAAUUGUAUAGAUAUGAUUAGUGAAUAAAGGAUUUGGACGUUAGUUUGGAGUAUAAUAUGACAUUAAGUUGGGAAUUGAUAAUUACCGAAGUAUAUUUGUUGAGUGACUGAUCUUGUAUCUUGCUCUGUGUUUUAUUUGAUGUUAAAUUAGUAAUUGCUGAGUAUUGAGUUUGGAUUGAGUUGUUGAUUGCUACAUAGUAUAGAAAAACAGGUGGAUAGUCUGAUAAAUAAAGGAGAUGCUGCAGAAUUUUUGUUAGAAAUUAUAUAUGAUUUGCUUAUUGAAUGAUAUUUAAUAGUUAAUAGCAAAUUAGUAUAAUUAAACCGAAUUGUGUUUAUGUGUUAAGUGAUCACUGGUAACUUUUGGUAGCUAAAAGGUUAUGUGUUUAACUGUGUGUUACGUGUUUAACUGACUCAAGGUGUAUAUACAUUAUAUAAUUAUCUAUUCAUAAAUAUGCGAAGGGUAGAUGAUUACAGACUUUGGUAGUUAUUCCGAAUUAGUUAAUAUCGCCUGGCGACUGAAGUAUCGUUUAACUCUCGUAUAGAGUCGACUAAGACAUGCUUGGCAAGUACACUCAAAAGUAGUCGUAGAGUUCAGGAUAACCCGAUAAGGCGAAGUUGCUCCAAGAGAAAGUCUAUCAGAGUAUAGUCAGUACGGAAGUUCGCAGUAUUGAGGCAAGUAUUUCUACCUCUCUCUUAUAUUGGAAAGAUCAAGUAUACAGUUCUUUUAUUCAAAGAAAAGUGUUCAUAUCCAUAUCCCGUAUUUUAGAAUUUCUGUCAGUACUUUUACCUUUCUCUUGCAAAUUAGAAGCAAGUGCACGUUCCUUUUACUUACUGCAAAUGCAUGACUGAGGUGCGAUUUUGAUUUGAAAGGUUGACUUACCAAAUUGAUGCAUAUGAUUUCAAAAUCUCUAUAAAUGGUUUUCAUAACUCGGUUUAGUUCCUCUGUAAGGCUUAUCUGUUAUAAGUAUACUUCUAAUGGAAUAAACCUUUUCUUGAAAAUGUUAAAGCUGUAGUUUUGAAACCUAUAUUGGGUAGGUUUGCGUAAGAGGCCCAGACACCGGCCCAGCGUGAAAGGUGGCUCCUUCAGCCCGGAAUACCGGAUUUCGUAAUAUUUGUGUGGCCUAGCUUGAAAAAGACUAGGUUCCAUGGACUAUAGUGCGACUGAUCAUCGGCUAUAGCAUGGUGUCUUAUUUAAAAACCCAAUGAAACAAUGAAUAGUUUGAAAAAGAGAUUAUCUUAUGUUGAAAAGAUGAUUGAUUUCAUUUUUAACUCUACAGCUUUAAGUUCAUAUAUUGAUGCAGAACUGUUUUAUCAUCGUGUACCAUUUUACUCUUUUUAUAUCAUACCCUGGUACUGAACUGUUGAUUUACAACAUCAUUAUUUAAUCCAGAGUUUACUUUUACUUCAAACAUUCCGAUUCACUUAAAUUUGUAUAUCUUGUGGCUUUCACCUAUCAUAUUCUUGCUGAGCAUUAUUGCUCAUUCUUGCUAUUCCUUCUAACCCUUUUCAGCUAGGAAUAAAGAUGAUUCACUUAAGACUAGACAAGGAUUGCAAGUGGUUAAGUUUCAAGCAAAUGGUCAGGUAGAGUAUGCAGGACGAUGUCAUUAAGACUAGAUGCAGUUGGAGUUCUGCAAUUCAAUUCAGUUGGAAAUUAGAUUUGUUUAUUUGGUUAUCAGCUACUCUUCUUAUCGAGGUUUAGCUGAUAAUGUAGUUUAAUUUGUAAUAAAGAUUUAAUAGUUUUAGUUUCUGAUUUCAAUACUGUAACCUGUAUGCGAUCCUGUUUUCAGGGGGUGAAAUUGAUUUUCAAUUUGAAUCAUUUUUUAAAAAAAAUAUCCAGGUUCUGAAAUACUUGUUUUUAUUUUCUUUCAAAAAUACAGGUUUUAAAUUAUUUUUAUUUACACGUGGCACCAAAUCCAGACCCCCGGAUUUGAGGGCUGUCACACAAGAUCUUGAUUUAAAUUUAUAAUUAAAAUGAUAGUUUGAUUAAAUGUUCCAAAAUCAGUUGGGAUAAAUAUAUUUUUUGUAAAUUAACCAACUAUUAGCAUUUAAUAUUUUUUGUAUGAAUAUAUUAGUUAAAAAACUUUUGUGAAUGAGGGG
Molecule: long non-coding RNA, 3814 nt
Filed under: Daucus carota (carrot)
Lineage: Eukaryota; Viridiplantae; Streptophyta; Magnoliopsida; Apiales; Apiaceae
Description: long non-coding RNA (DCAR_LNC001202)
Source: RNAcentral